AGGACGAACGCUGGCGGCGUGCCUAACACAUGCAAGUCGAGCGGGGACAUGCGACGGAUAGGAAGUUUCGGAUGGACUUGAAGAUGCAUUGUUCUAGCGGCGGACGGGUGAGUAACGCGUGAGCAACCUGUCCCUUACAGGGGGAUAACACAGCGAAAGUUGUACUAAUACCGCAUAAGACCACGGGAGGACAUCCUUCAGGGGUCAAAGGAGGAAUCCGGUAAGGGGUGGGCUCGCGUCCGAUUAGAUAGUUGGUGAGGUAACGGCCCACCAAGUCGACGAUCGGUAGCCGACCUGAGAGGGUGAUCGGCCACAUUGGGACUGAGACACGGCCCAAACUCCUACGGGAGGCAGCAGUGGGGAAUAUUGGGCAAAUGGGGGAAACCCUGACCCAGCAACGCCGCGUGAGGGAAGAAGGUUUUCGGAUCGUAAACCUCUGUCCUUGGUGAAGAGGAAGAGACGGUAGCCAAGGAGGAAGCCCCGGCUAACUACGUGCCAGCCGCCGC
This 506-nucleotide ribosomal RNA is filed under the name uncultured bacterium. RNAcentral's name for it is "bacterial SSU rRNA". It matches the Rfam family "Bacterial small subunit ribosomal RNA", at positions 26 to 518 of the family's 1533-position model. The record is from RNAcentral.